RNAcentral lists this transfer RNA (84 nucleotides) under archaeon. RNAcentral's name for it is "tRNA-Leu". The record is from RNAcentral.
GCGAGGGUGCCGGAGUGGUCAAACGGGCAGCCCCGAGGAGGCUGUGACUUAGUGUCUACGCGUGUUCAAGUCACGUCCCUCGCA